This 693-nucleotide ribosomal RNA is filed under the name uncultured bacterium. RNAcentral's name for it is "bacterial SSU rRNA". It matches the Rfam family "Bacterial small subunit ribosomal RNA", at positions 94 to 801 of the family's 1533-position model. The record is from RNAcentral.
AGCGGCAGACGGGUGAGUAACACAUGGGAAACCUCCCUCAAAAUGGGGAACAUCUCCGAGAAAUCGGAGCUAAUACCGCAUAAGACCACAGUCUGGCAUCAGACAGGGGUAAAAGCAGUAAUGCGUUUUGAGAUGGUCCUGUGUCCUAUCAGCUUGUUGGUGAGGUAACGGCUCACCAAGGCUAAGACGGGUAUCCGGCCUGAAAGGGUGAACGGACACACUGGAACUGAGACACGGUCCAGACUCCUACGGGAGGCAGCAGUGGGGAAUUUUGGACAAUGGGCGCAAGCCUGAUCCAGCGACGCCGCGUGGAGGAUGAAGGCCUUCGGGUUGUAAACUCCUUUUGGAGGGGAAGAAUAAAUUGACGGUACCCUCAGAAAAAGCCACGGCUAACUACGUGCCAGCAGCCGCGGUAAUACGUAGGUGGCGAGCGUUACUCGGAAUUACUAGGCGUAAAGCGUAUGUAGGCGGUUGUAUAAGUCUAUGGUGAAAUUUCCUGGCUCAACUGGGAAGGGACAUAGAUACUGUAUGGCUUGAGUGUUGGAGGGGGAGACGGAAUUCCUGGUGUAGCGGUGAAAUGCGUAGAUAUCAGGAGGAACACCGAUGGCGAAAGCAGUCUCCUGGCCAAAUACUGACGCUGAGGUACGAAAGCUAGGGUAGCAAACAGGAUUAGAUACCCUGGUAGUCCUAGCU